RNAcentral lists this ribosomal RNA (939 nucleotides) under uncultured bacterium. Its description in RNAcentral is "bacterial SSU rRNA". It matches the Rfam family "Bacterial small subunit ribosomal RNA", at positions 8 to 916 of the family's 1533-position model. The record is from RNAcentral.
AGAGUUUGAUCAUGGCUCAGGACGAACGCUGGCGGCGUGCUUAAUACAUGCAAGUCGAGCGAGGUUAUGUUGUGGACAUCCUUCGGGAGGGAAGCGAUAUGACCUAGCGGCGGACGGGUGAGUAACGCGUGGGCAAUCUGCCCUAAAGCUCGGGAUAACAGUGGGAAACUGCUGCUAAUACCGGAUGACUUUAUCGGGAGGCAUCUUCGGAUAAAGAAAGUGGUCAAUCAUUGAUUGACCAGCGCUUUAGGAUGAGCCCGCGUCCCAUUAGCUAGUUGGUGAGGUAACGGCUCACCAAGGCGACGAUGGGUAGCCGGCCUGAGAGGGUGAACGGCCACACUGGGACUGAGACACGGCCCAGACUCCUACGGGAGGCAGCAGUAGGGAAUAUUGCGCAAUGGAGGGAACUCUGACGCAGCGACGCCGCGUGAGCGAUGAAGGUUUUCGGAUCGUAAAGCUCUGUCCUUGGGGAAGAAGGGUGCGAAGCAUCUUGACGGUACCUAAGGAGGAAGCCCCGGCUAACUACGUGCCAGCAGCCGCGGUAAUACGUAGGGGGCAAGCGUUGUCCGGAAUUAUUGGGCGUAAAGGGUGCGUAGGCGGCCUUUUAAGUCAGAUGUGAAAGACCACGGCUUAACCGUGGGGUUGCAUUUGAAACUGGAAGGCUUGAGUAUCGGAGAGGGUAGUGGAAUUCCCAGUGUAGCGGUGGAAUGCGUAGAUAUUGGGAGGAACACCAGUGGCGAAGGCGACUACCUGGACGAAAACUGACGCUGAGGCACGAAAGCUAGGGGAGCAAACAGGAUUAGAUACCCUGGUAGUCCUAGCCGUAAACGAUGGGUACUAGGUGUAGGAGGUUUCGAUACCUUCUGUGCCGCAGUUAACGCAAUAAGUACCCCGCCUGGGGAGUACGUGCGCAAGCAUGAAACUCAAAGGAAUUGACGG